GGGGCUAUAGCUCAGUCGGUUAGAGCGCAUCCCUGAUAAGGAUGAGGUCGGAAGUUCGAUUCUUCCUAGCCCCA
Molecule: transfer RNA, 74 nt
Filed under: Acidimicrobiia bacterium
Lineage: Bacteria; Bacillati; Actinomycetota; Acidimicrobiia
Also listed under: 4 other names
Description: tRNA-Ile
Rfam family: tRNA
About the family: Transfer RNA (tRNA) molecules are approximately 80 nucleotides in length. Their secondary structure includes four short double-helical elements and three loops (D, anti-codon, and T loops). Further hydrogen bonds mediate the characteristic L-shaped molecular structure. tRNAs have two regions of fundamental functional importance: the anti-codon, which is responsible for specific mRNA codon recognition, and the 3' end, to which the tRNAs corresponding amino acid is attached (by aminoacyl-tRNA synthetases). tRNAs cope with the degeneracy of the genetic code in two manners: having more than one tRNA (with a specific anti-codon) for a particular amino acid; and 'wobble' base-pairing, i.e. permitting non-standard base-pairing at the 3rd anti-codon position.
Source: RNAcentral